GAUGAAGAACGCAGUGAAAUGCGAUACGUAAUGUGAAUUGCAGAAUUCAGUGAAUCAUCGAAUCUUUGAACGCAUAUUGCGCUCUUUGGUAUUCCGAAGAGCAUGCUUGUUUGAGUAUCAGUAAACACCUCAACCUCUUCUUGAUUUUUCAAAAGGAGGGUGGACUUGAGCUAUCCCAACAACCUUUACCGGUCGGCGGGCGGCUUGAAAUGCAGGUGCAGCUGGACUUUUAUCUGAGCUAAAAGCAUAUCUAUUUAGUCCUCGUCAAACAGGAUUAUUACUUUUGCUGCAGCUAACAUAAAGGAUAAUUGUCCUCUUUGCUGACUGAUGCAGGAUUUUACGACACUUUAUGUGUUGUUCAACUCGAUCUCAAAUCAAGUAAGACUACCCGCUGAACUUAAGCAUAUCAAUAAGCGGAGGA
This 421-nucleotide unclassified non-coding RNA is filed under the name soil metagenome. Its description in RNAcentral is "partial contains 5.8S ribosomal RNA, internal transcribed spacer 2, and large subunit ribosomal RNA". The stretch from base 1 to 120 matches the Rfam family "5.8S ribosomal RNA", at positions 35 to 154 of the family's 154-position model. The record is from RNAcentral.